AGAAACUGGCAAGAACAGUCAAACAUCUUAAUAAAGUUAACUGGAGCCAGGAAAGAGUGUCAAAGGUGGCAGAUGGCCUCACGAUGGAGUACAUGUCAUCCGACAAAAGUGAGCUAGAUGGACGAAGAAACUUAUAGGGUUAAACAGUACAACGUGCGAAAGUUUUCCUGGGAAAGCAAAGAAGAAUCGAUAAAAAAUCGCUAGGAUUUUCUGCCUGGACUAUCAAGGAGAGUCAUGACUCAUAAUAGCAAGGGGAACCAUCGAACCUGGCAAACCAGCGAACACGGCCAACUGUCCAUGCAGAUUGGGCACAUAUGAGGUUGAAAAUGGACCAGCGCAAGUCGCAGAUUUUGACACAAAUCCGCCACUAUAUAGAGGGAACGGGCUCGUUAUUUACUUGAAAUACAUUAUGAAACAGCUAUCAGUUAGGACCAGCGCUAAAAAUUUAAGGAUUUGCAUUAUUCGCUUGGCUUUGCCCGCUCUGUUCUAGUCUUAAUUGCCUUUUACCGUUUCCAGGGCAAUAUAAGUGAAUUUAGCUGUGUACACUGUAAAUUUCAAGGAGUUCAAUCAACUCAAAAUGUUUUAUUUUGUAACCAAAAAGGUCUAAAACGACUACAGAAUAACAUUUUGGAGUUAAUUAUACAGACUCCUUGAAAUUUACAGUGUAUUGUACAUAAAUUGGCAACAAUUGUUGCAGCUGAAAAGAAUUUUCUAAAGAACGAGUCACAAACAUUAGUCACUUUUAUCUUACAAUGCCAAUCACAAAACGUGAUAAUUUUAGAUUCCGUUUUUAUACUGAGUCUUUGUCCGCACAAAUCCGUUUUCGUAUGGUGUUUUCUAUAUUUCCUUGUAAACGGAUAACAAUAUCGUACGUGAGAACGCUAUGCGAGAAAGGAUUAGUCUGGGCUUAUUAUAAAUGUUUCAGUUCGAUAUAUAAUUUUAGUUUCAUUUUCAUACAUGAACCGGUGUAGUAUAUGUAUAUGUUAUAAUAAAUUUAUUUUAAAG
Molecule: non-coding RNA, 1005 nt
Organism: Paramuricea clavata
Lineage: Eukaryota; Metazoa; Cnidaria; Anthozoa; Malacalcyonacea; Plexauridae
Source: the annotation of a GenBank genome assembly